CACUCUAGCGAGACUGCCGGUAUAAACCGGAGGAAGGUGGGGAUGACGUCAAAUCAUCAUGCCCUUAUGACCUGGGCUACACACGUGCUACAAUGGUUGGUACAACGAGUUGCGAGUCGGUGACGGCGAGCUAAUCUCUUAAAGCCAAUCUCAGUUCGGAUUGUAGGCUGCAACUCGCCUACAUGAAGUCGGAAUCGCUAGUAAUCGCGGAUCAGCACGCCGCGGUGAAUACGUUCCCGGGCCUU
RNAcentral lists this ribosomal RNA (245 nucleotides) under uncultured Streptococcus sp. Its description in RNAcentral is "partial 16S ribosomal RNA". It matches the Rfam family "Bacterial small subunit ribosomal RNA", at positions 1136 to 1382 of the family's 1533-position model. Lineage: Bacteria; Bacillati; Bacillota; Bacilli; Lactobacillales; Streptococcaceae. The record is from RNAcentral.